UUGUGGUUAUUAUGUUUUGUACUCAUUGCAUAUAACAGAGAACUUACACAUUCUGAGGAGAUAAAUGGCAUUAAUUGAAGUUGGCUCAUUCACACGAUAGUAAGUUUGCUGCUUUGUGCUUUGGAUUUAACUUUUUUUUUCAUUUAUAUUUGUUAUUUAUUCCGUUAAUUAUUGCUUUUGCUGAAACACAAAGUCGCAGACAGCUUCCUAGACAGCUUAGUUUCAGUAUAACUGAAAAUGUAUGAUGAAUUUUCGGCUUUUAUUUCCAGGUUGUGGUUUCUUUAAGUCUGAUUGAGUCCAAGAUGUCUGAGUCAAAGAGUUUUAUAUACACUUUGGAUAAAGGAGCAUGGUUUGAAGACUAUGAGUGCAUAUACAGCUCCAUAUUUGUGAUUUAACAUGUAAUAUGACACGACCACUACCUGUCAUCACUGGUUCUUUGAGGUUUUACAUUGGAAAGUUGCAUUCAUCAAACGUUUAAGAGCCCGGUGUGCUUUCAUAAGAGAUGUUGUGGUCUUUAGAAUUAAACAAGGAUCAGAUAUAGGGAAGAAGCAUGAUUAUUUCCAAACAAUACCAAAUGAUCAGCAGUGUUAAACUACUUUAAAACAUGUUUUAUCUUUAAUUGUGCUGUUAUUGUGCUUGCUCAUGAGUUGUGGGUGAUAACAUGAUAAUCAUCUGCCUACUUGAUCACAUGCACAUUUGUGAUGCUUGCAAGAAAAAACAUUGUCUAGCUGGUAAUUGUCAUAUUACACAGAUUUCAAGAGACUGUUUCCUAGACAACAGAAGAGUUGUGUUACAUCCACAAACUGUACAGCGUUGUGUAUCUGCACUUAAGUCAAACGCCUGAUGGCAACUGCUGCUCCCACUGAUGAUAUGGACAAGAUGCAAAUGUUUGCAUAGCCAGAAUCAAACUCUUUGACCUACACCAGUUAAAGAAUCUGCACUAUUGAAAAACAAAAAACAAAAAACCACAACUUAUGGUUCUUUUGAGUCACACAGCACAUAACUUGCUAGAAAUUUUGUGUCAGUUUUUAAAUGGAAGCUGAAUCAUUCUGUAGCUGAAAGCUGUUUAAGGGCCAAGCUCUGCCAGAUCAUUCAAUUAAGUGCACAUUUUUAUAUACUCCAACUUAAAACUAAAUGCUCUGAAGCAAAGGUAACGUAAGGGUUUGUUUCAGUUUGUUUUGGUUAGUUUGGGAGAGGGAGGUUGGUUUGCUUCUUCUCAAGGUGUGGGGGAUGUGUGGGAAAGGGAGAGACAUUAAAUGCUAGUUAACAAAAACUCAAAAGGACGUGCUGCUGUUCUGUUCCUUUGAUGUCGUCCAUAGAGAGGGAUUAAAUGACUCUCUGAGAAACGUGUUGAACUAAUUUAUGUAAUGUAGUAAAUAAUCUCAAUGUGUUAGUAAUUUGACUGUUUUAUUGAGUCAACGGAAACACCAAUAUGGAGGCAUUCCAGACCCAAAAUCCUUCCUUCCCACAAAUAAAUCUCAGGUGGCUUUCACAAGAUCAUAUGCUAUUUUAGAGCCCAGAAAUUAUUUUUGGAACCAGACUAAAUGUGUAUGAGAAGGAAAUAAAGGUCAUUUUGAAACAGGAAAUAAGUGUACAAUAGCAUUGUUAAGAAAAUGCAUCCCUCUUUCUGACCCUGCCUGUAUCACCAUGCUACAGAACAGAGUCACUUUUUGACUACAGUCAUACAAAGCUUGAUGUGGUAGACAAAUAAUACAUGUUAAGAAACUCCGGAAAGAAUCCUUGUAGUACAAUCCCUACUGGAAAACAAAUCCCAAAUCUGCACAUGAAUCUGUGGAAAAGAGUUUCUUGUUGGUUUCAAUCAGAAGAGCAAAGUUUCUUUCUCCCUUUUUUUAUGUUAUUGACACUCUUCCUGUUGUGUCAUCUUUUAUUUCCCCGAAAGACAAGAAAAGCUGUGUGAGACAAACUUGUGUGUUGUGGUUUGCACUUCAGUGCAUUUCAUUUCUGCAAAGAUACAUGUCUGUAUAUACAGAGUACAGAGAAUGAUAUUGCAUGCGUCUGGGUUUGAUGCUGCUGAGUGAGCAAUUAACUUUCCUGUCCUUUAUUUCCAUUGCAUAGGUUUACAUGUAAUUGAAAUUCCUGGCAUUGAAAGGUGGUUUGGAAACUUUCUGGCCAGGCAACAAGGUAUUCUGAAUCCUGGGAGUCUGACAGGACUCCUGCAGCCUGUGUUCCACAUCUCUGCUUGUCGUCGUGAUCAAGGAAAAUACUGAAGUCAAAAUGAUGGAUGUUUUAUGAGGCUGCUUAAAGAGGACAACUCACAUCACCCUGCUGGCAAAUAUGGAUGUGAAUAUACAAAAUUAUAACGCACUGCCCUGCAAAUAAAUUUACAGGAACAUCAGACUUCUUUUAUAUACAAUUCUGAUAGCAAUUUCAAGUCUGUCUUAAUCAUACCAAGGAGAUUGCCCUUCCAAAAUCUAUAUGAAGCCUACAACCACAGGGCCCAUUUCGUGCAUCCGUGGCAUUCAGAAGCAUCAUAAGCAAACAGGCCCUGGAAGAUACGUAUGAAGAAGUAGUAUCAGUAGUUCAGCGCUGAUACCACCCCAAUGCAGAAACUCAAAACCCCCUCACAAAAUAACGUGAAGUUGUGGAUGAACUGUUGCGGCCUAGCUCCUCAUCUCCACCCUGUGCUGGCAUGGCUCUUCCUUGGAGAUGACUUCUUGCCUUGCUUCCAGCAGUCAGCGUGUCCUGCCAGGAAAGAAAAGACUGGAGGCUGCAGGAGGCGGAUGGGUAUGAGUGUGUGUGAGGAAUGGCCCGCUCUGUUCCAGGGUCACCAUCUGCCACAGCUGUACACUGUUCUGUGAGACCUCCUAAAGCACAUGGCGUGUCUCACAUCCUGCCCAAAAUUCUCCACUGGCAAAAAUCACCGGGUGUUAAGACUGCAGUGGAUUAAGAAUGGACUUAGAGUCUUCCAGCGAUCAUGUGGUACGCUGUGAUGCUAUGAUGCUGGCAUGUUGGCAGCGGCCAGGAACAGUCUUGUGAGUGUGACGGACACAUCAGGAAAAAUGAGAUCAAGAUUGGUCUCUUCGGCAAAAAUAUAUUCUCUUAGGAGCUCUCACAAAAGUAUUCACUACUGGAUGGAAUCUGAUUGUCAUUAAAUUGAAGCUUCUCUGCGUACUA
This is a long non-coding RNA of Numida meleagris (helmeted guineafowl), 3135 nucleotides long. RefSeq lists it as uncharacterized. The record is from RefSeq and is a predicted model, not a curated record. The transcript has 3 exons. Lineage: Eukaryota; Metazoa; Chordata; Aves; Galliformes; Numididae.